This 483-nucleotide ribosomal RNA is filed under the name uncultured bacterium. RNAcentral describes it as "partial 16S ribosomal RNA". It matches the Rfam family "Bacterial small subunit ribosomal RNA", at positions 28 to 507 of the family's 1533-position model. The record is from RNAcentral.
GACGAACGCUGGCGGCGUGCUUAACACAUGCAAGUCGAACGCUGAAGCUCAGCUUUUGUUGGGUGGAUGAGUGGCGAACGGGUGAGUAACACGUGAGUAACCUGCCUCCUUCUUUGGGAUAACGCCCGGAAACGGGUGCUAAUACUGGAUAUUCACUGGUCUUCGCAUGGGGGUUGGUGGAAAGGGUUUUUCUGGUGGGGGAUGGGCUCGCGGCCUAUCAGCUUGUUGGUGGGGUGAUGGCCUACCAAGGCUUUGACGGGUAGCCGGCCUGAGAGGGUGACCGGUCACAGUGGGACGGAGAUACGGCCCAGACUCGUACGGGAGGCAGCAGUGGGGAAGAUUGCACAAUGGGCGCAAGACUGAUGCAGCGACGCCGCGUGAGGGAUGGAGGCCUUCGGGUUGUGAACCUCUUUCGCUCAUGGUCAAGCCGCAACAAUGGUUGUGGUGAGGGUAGUGGGUAAAGAAGCGCCGGCUAACUACGUG